Tarenaya hassleriana is the source of this 700-nucleotide long non-coding RNA. RefSeq lists it as uncharacterized. The record is from RefSeq and is a predicted model, not a curated record. Lineage: Eukaryota; Viridiplantae; Streptophyta; Magnoliopsida; Brassicales; Cleomaceae. The transcript has 3 exons.
CCGGCGAGGGUAUCUGAGUCGGCGGUGAAGAUGACGUCUGUGUCGGCGCCGACAAUAUAGCAGUGAGCGACAGUGCGUUGAAAAUCAUGCAUGUGCUAUAUAACCUAUUACCGGGAGAGGCAUAUGAACAGAGCAUAAAUAACGCGAAAGGAUCAACUAAUGCUUAUAUUAAAUUCAUCACAUCAACUAAUGCUUACGUUAUCCGGAGCCAAAACCGGUCGCUUCCCUAAGGAUAAGCGUGUCGUUAAAGGUGCCACCACCGCCUCUGAGCUUUAGUGGGAGAAAGUUAACUCCUUUUCUCUAUCUCCUAUCAGUCUCUUUUUCAUUAUCAUCUUCUGAGUGGAUGCUUUUGGAAGGGUUCCUUUUUCAGAAAGUGCUAAAGAUUUGGUUACAAACAUGUUGACCAAAGAAAACUAGAAGAAAACUGUAAAUGGAUUGGAAAAUGAUACAAAGGAUAACAAAAAGAGAUGGACGAAUAUAUUAACAUGACUUCGCAAAAGGAUAGAGAUCGAAAAAAAGUUCCUUUGGAUGAACGAAAUCUGACGUCAGAAGAAAGAUUUGCGUUGAGCCUUCAGACAAAAUAUUAUCCACACGUUUUUAUCCGGAUGUUACACGGGAAAAGCCGGUGUCCAUGCGAAUUCGAAUGUGUUUUGGAACGAUGUGAUUCUAUUUCAUAGAUUCAGAUGGAUAAUAAUUUUUG